CGUCUCAUAUUUAACACGAAUCGAUGAUAUUCACCCAACAUAGCGAUGAAAUCAACGGCUUAAUGUUAAAUCGGUUCGUUGCCUUAUUUAUUAAAAUUACUUAAAUUUAAAAUUGCAACUAAACAAGUAUAAUAAUAUCUUUUAAAAUUAAAGAAAGAAAAAUAUUUUUUCUUUUUUUUUUCUUUUCUUUCUUCUUCCUCAAAAACCCUAGCUUGCACCUUCACGCCGCCGCUUGCGCCACCGCCGUCUCCUCGGUCACUCCUCUCCUCUCUUCUUUUCUUUCCUCUUCCUUCCUCUUUCUUUUUGCUGCUGAAACUCCCUUUUUCUUGAAACUUUUCUCUUUUUUUUUUUGAUUCGUGGGUCUCUCGAUUUUUGGGGUUUAAACCCCUUUUAUAGUUGGUUUUUUUCUUCUUUUUGCAGGUAGCAGGUGGCUAGGGGAGAGGGCGGCCAUGCCCUAGGCCGGAGGCCGGAAAUCGCGGAGGGCAGUUGCGUAAAUCACGCUGAUGGCUGCCAGAAGGACCAAACUGCAAUUGCAACAAAACUUCUAGGGCU
RNAcentral lists this long non-coding RNA (552 nucleotides) under Gossypium raimondii (Peruvian cotton). Its description in RNAcentral is "long non-coding RNA (GRAI_LNC007899)". The record is from RNAcentral. Lineage: Eukaryota; Viridiplantae; Streptophyta; Magnoliopsida; Malvales; Malvaceae.